CCUUACCUGGCCUUGACAUACUAAGAACUUUCCAGAGAUGGAUUGGUGCCUUCGGGAACUUAGAUACAGGUGCUGCAUGGCUGUCGUCAGCUCGUGUCGUGAGAUGUUGGGUUAAGUCCCGCAACGAGCGCAACCCUUUUCCUAUUUGCCAGCGGGUUAAGCCGGGAACUUUAAGGAUACUGCCAGUGACAAACUGGAGGAAGGCGGGGACGACGUCAAGUCAUCAUGGCCCUUACGGCCAGGGCUACACACGUGCUACAAUGGUCGGUACAAAGGGUUGCUACCUCGCGAGAGGAUGCUAAUCUCAAAAAGCCGAUCGUAGUCCGGAUCGCAGUCUGCAACUCGACUGCGUGAAGUCGGAAUCGCUAGUAAUCGCGGAUCAGAAUGCCGCGGUGAAUACGUUCCCGGGCCUCGUACACACCGCCCGUCACACCAUGGGAGUUUGUUGCACCAGAAGUAGGUAGUCUAACCGCAAGGAGGACGCUUACCACGGUGUGGCCGAUGACUGGGGUGAAGUCGUAACAAGGUAAGCGUAGAUGA
Molecule: ribosomal RNA, 540 nt
Filed under: uncultured bacterium
Lineage: Bacteria
Description: bacterial SSU rRNA
Rfam family: Bacterial small subunit ribosomal RNA
Source: RNAcentral